Molecule: ribosomal RNA, 460 nt
Filed under: uncultured bacterium
Lineage: Bacteria
Description: partial 16S ribosomal RNA
Rfam family: Bacterial small subunit ribosomal RNA
Source: RNAcentral
CCUACGGGAGGCUGCAGUGAGGAAUAUUGGUCAAUGGGCGCAGGCCUGAACCAGCCAAGUAGCGUGAAGGAUGACUGCCCUACGGGUUGUAAACUUCUUUUAUCAGGGAGUAAAGUGCGGCACGUGUGCCUUUUUGUGUGUACUUUAUGAAUAAGGAUCGGCUAACUCCGUGCCAGCAGCCGCGGUAAUACGGAGGAUCCGAGCCUUAUCCGGAUUUAUUGGGUUUAAAGGGAGCGUAGAUGGGGUGUUAAGUCAGUUGUGAAAGUUUGCGGCUCAACCGUAAAAUUGCAAUUGAUACUGGCAGCCUUGAGUAAAGUUGAGGUAGGCGGAAUGCGUGGUGUAGCGGUGAAAUGCUUAGAUAUCACGCAGAACUCCGAUUGCGAAGGCAGCUUACUAAACUGCAACUGACAUUGAUGCUCGAAAGUGUGGGUAUCAAACAGGAUUAGAUACCCGUGUAGUC